Molecule: ribosomal RNA, 253 nt
Filed under: uncultured bacterium
Lineage: Bacteria
Description: partial 16S ribosomal RNA
Rfam family: Bacterial small subunit ribosomal RNA
Source: RNAcentral
UACGAAGGGGGCUAGCGUUGCUCGGAAUCACUGGGCGUAAAGCGCACGUAGGCGGACUCUUAAGUCGGUGGUGAAAUCCCGGAGCUCAACUCCGGAACUGCCUUUGAUACUGGCGAUCUCGAGAUCGGAAGAGGUGAGUGGAAUUCCCAGUGUAGAGGUGAAAUUCGUAGAUAUUGGGAAGAACACCGGUGGCGAAGGCGGCUCACUGGUCCGAUACUGACGCUGAGGUGCGAAAGCGUGGGGAGCAAACAGG